RNAcentral lists this ribosomal RNA (417 nucleotides) under uncultured bacterium. Its description in RNAcentral is "bacterial SSU rRNA". It matches the Rfam family "Bacterial small subunit ribosomal RNA", at positions 355 to 786 of the family's 1533-position model. The record is from RNAcentral.
UGGGGAAUAUUGCGCAAUGGGGGAAACCCUGACGCAGCAACGCCGCGUGCAGGAAGAAGGUCUUCGGAUUGUAAACUGUUGUCGCAGGGGAAGAAGACAGUGACGGUACCCUGUGAGAAAGUCACGGCUAACUACGUGCCAGCAGCCGCGGUAAUACGUAGGUGACAAGCGUUGUCCGGAUUUACUGGGUGUAAAGGGCGCGUAGGCGGACUGUCAAGUCAGUCGUGAAAUACCGGGGCUUAACCCCGGGGCUGCGAUUGAAACUGACAGCCUUGAGUAUCGGAGAGGAAAGCGGAAUUCCUAGUGUAGCGGUGAAAUGCGUAGAUAUUAGGAGGAACACCAGUGGCGAAGGCGGCUUUCUGGACGACAACUGACGCUGAGGCGCGAAAGUGUGGGGAGCAAACAGGAUUAGAUACC